Long non-coding RNA from Oreochromis aureus, 770 nucleotides. RefSeq lists it as uncharacterized. The record is from RefSeq and is a predicted model, not a curated record. The transcript has 5 exons. Lineage: Eukaryota; Metazoa; Chordata; Actinopteri; Cichliformes; Cichlidae.
UAUAUUAGCGCCAUUUAUUGCUGCUUGGACCACAGCAUCUUCGGAAUUUGUAGACAUCCUGGCAGCUUACAAUUAGUUCGAGGGUGCUGACCCAAAUCUGUGUGGACCAGAACGUACCAAAGAGAACUACAACUCUGCUGUUGAUCGCCUCCAGAUUGACAAUACACCAGACGUCGAAGGAGUGAAGUUCAGACACUGAAUUUGAGCAGAAACCAUAAGGAUACUCAAAGGACCUGUGACUCUCAGGAAAUGCAUCAAAUGAGAGGGACAGAUGAAACAGUUUCAAGACAAUGGCAGGAAAAACAUGCUGAAGAUUGAAACAAACCUUGGCUGGAAAUAUUUGAAGGUAUCUAGCCAGUCCACAAUGAAAGCUUCGUUGCACCCCAUGAGUCUUCUGGCAGAAAUGAUGGCGCCUGUAUUCUUUGGUUUCCUAAACAUCACACCCUGCCUGUUUAUACGAGGCUCUUCAAUUAAGUCUGCACCCAAAGAUUCAAUAAGAGGUAAGCAGUGGUAUUAUUCAAGUUUUGCUAAAGAAAGAUGGACAGGAGACACUAAUCUUAAUCAGCCGAGCUCAGGUUCAUGUCCAGGUGAGCAGUUUCAUAUGCUAUAAAAUGUAGAUUGAAUGAUAGGUCUCAUCACCAUGCAUUCAGCCAUUAACUUCAAGUUCUAUGAUAAAUCAAUAGAAAACUUAAAUACGUUUUCCAACAAAUUAUGAUUGUGAUUAGGGCUGCGUUGUCUAUGUAUCACUUUUACAUAAGUAGAUUUAAAGG